AGUAGAUGAUCUCUCAGUUCUACAAUUCUGUCUCAGAGAUGGCGGCUGAAUUUCAGACCAAGGUUCUGCUCUGUGUGGUGUUAGAGACAAGGCUCGGCUGACCAUUGCUACUCAGAAGGAGGACUUGCAGGAGACUGAGGGCAGGAUGGACGCUGCCCAGCCUGAACAAUCGAUGGACCUCAGACACACGACAAGGUGAAUUCCGACCAGGGGAGGGGACAUCUCAGGACUUUGUUUUCAAACAUUUAUAACUCUCGAGAGUUUCAAGAGUGAAGUCACCGUGUUUCCUUUGCUGAGAAACGUGCUCCUUGUCUUCCUGCCAUGUUGUCCCUGAUGGGGUUAUACUAGAAGUCCACAGCCCAGGCGGAACCCUGAGAAGACGUUUGGGGAGAUGCGGGACAGAGAGAUCAAGCAACUUUCCCAAGGUCACACAGGAAGUCAAUGGCAGUGUUGAGAUCUGAGCCCCAGUCCCAUGUCUGAUACCCGCAAGAGCAGCCUUCCUCUCCUUUAUAACCUCAGAGAAACCAGAGGCUGAUUAUCUGCACAGGAGGUCGUUUUUGCAUGUUAAAGGAAAACACUGAUAGGACUCACUGAAUGCCUGGACUAACAGAGAAAGAAGUGAAUCACUGUCAGUGUUUUAGGGGUAUCGCUGUCAUGACUG
Molecule: long non-coding RNA, 661 nt
Organism: Trachemys scripta elegans
Lineage: Eukaryota; Metazoa; Chordata; Testudines; Emydidae
Exons: 4
Source: RefSeq, a predicted model, not a curated record